UUAAUUUGUUUGUUUUAAACUCGAAACUGCGUCUCACAUAUUUUUGCUAGAUAUCAGAAAAGUGACAUGCGCAGAAGAGUCACAACGACAAUAACAACAAACGCCGAAUUUCCAUAACGAAAUGGCUAACGAAAUUGCAUAACAAAUAGCCAUUCUGGAUUGUGACCUGCUGCUCCAUGGUUGUGGACAUAAAACUCUCGACAGGUUUGAUAUAGAGACUGUUUCAGAUGAGUUCCUAUUAACAUCAUUUGGAUUCCCUCGAGAUUUCAUCUACUACUUGGUGGAGCUACUGCGUGACACUUUAGGAUUCUAUACCUCAGGAUCCUUCCAGACGAGGAUGGGAGAUGCCAUUGGCAUUCGCCAGGCUUCCAUGAGUCGCUGUAUGACAAAUGCAACCAAGGCAAUGGUUGAGAAAGCUCCAGAGUGCAUAGGAUUCAUGAGAGAGGAAGCCACAAAACAGCAGUCCAAAGAGGAGUUUUUCAGGGUAGCAGGAAUUACCUAAUGUCAUGGGGGUUGUAGACUGCCCAUAUAGCCAUUAAGGCACCCAAUGCCGAUGAUUCUUCAUCUGCCAAUAAGAAAGGCUUCCAUUCAAGAAACUGUCAACUUGUGUGUGAUGCCAGGGGACUUUUGCUCAGUGCAGAGACUAACUGGCCCGGCAGUUUACAGGAUAACUGCAUAUUUCAAGAGUCUUCAGUGUACAAGGAAUUGGAAGAGCAGGAAAAUCACGAAGGCUGGUUAUUAGGAGACUGCCACUAUCCUUUAAAGAAAUGGCUGAUGACACCUGUCUAGUACCCAGAAACUUCAGCAGACUUUCGAUACAACCUGGCUCACACUGCCACUCAUAAGAUGGACCGCACAUGGACCGCACAUUCAGGGCCAUUCAAACUCAUUUCCGUUGCCUGGAUGGGUCCAAAGGCUACCUUCAGUACUCACCUGAGAAGUGCUCUCACAUCAUUCUGGCCUGCUGCGUCUUGCACAACGUGUCAUUGCAAUCAGGCUUGGAUGCCUGGACAUUUGAGAGGACUGAUAUACCAGGCCAGUCAGACAACGGCAGUCGAAAGCCAGAGGCUGUGGACUCUGAGGCAGUCCGAAUCUGCCAGGAGCUCAUUCUUAGUCACUUCAGCUAGGUCUGCAUGCUCAGAAUCAACAGGGAAAACACUAUGUUUCACAGAGCCUGUGCCUGCAAUAGAGAAGUGGUUGACACCAGAUUCUGUAUAAGCAGAAAGAAAGAUGAUUUUGUGACUAAUAUAGGUUUUAGUAGGUGUAGAUGUACAGUUUCAGAAAGUAUUCAUACACCUUGACUAAUUCCACAUUUUGUUGUUGGAUUAAAUGUAUUAUUUUUCUCACCCAUCUACACACAAUACCCCCUAAUGGCAAAGUGAAAACAUGUUUUUAGACAUGUUUGCAAAUGUAUUGAUAAUUAAAUGUGUAUCCUAAAAACCUCUAGUCCUUUCUGAUGACAAGCAUACCCAUAACAUGAUGCAGCCAACACCAUGCUUGAAAAUAUGGUGGUACUCAGUGAUGUGUUGUGAUGGAUUUGUAUGUAUAUGUAAAAUGUAUGUAUAUGUAGCAGAAAAGCUGUAAAAAAAAAAAAAUGUUUUAUUUCUCCUCCAAAGAGGGGUGGUGGUGGAGGGGUUAAUACAUGUUUGUUUUUUUAAGCCCUAAUAGCAGACACAUUUCUCAACAUGCUCACAACAUGCAAUUGGAUCCAAAUUAUAAACAUUUGGAUACAGGGGGAAAAAAAUGGUGCAAGUCAAAUUCUACUCAAAUACUUGUAUUUGGCGGGUUGUGAGCAUGUUGAGAGAUGUGUCCGUUCUUAGGGCUUGAUUCAAUCAGAUUUUUUUAAAGUGCAUGUUUUGGAUUAUUUGUAUUCUGUACAGGCUUCCUUCUUUUCAUUCUGUCAUUUAGCUUAGUAACUACAAUGUGUUCGAUCCAUCCUCAGUUUUCUCCUAUCACAGCCAUUAAACUCUCUUAAAGUCACCAUUAGUCUCACGGUGAAAACCCUGAGCGGUUUCCUUCCGAUCCAGUAAACUGAGUUAGGAAGGACACCUGUAUCUUUUUAAAAAUUGAACUUUUAUGUAACUAGGCAAGUCAGUUAAGAAUACUGAGCUCAGCACGCACUGAGCCCCAAUUGCGCGCCGCCCCAAUGGGACUCCCAAUAACGUCCGGUUGUGAUACAGUCUGGGAUCAAACCAGGGUCUGUAGUGAUGCCUCUAGCACUGAGAUGCAGUGCCUUAGACCGCUGCACCACUCAGGAGUGACAGUGUAUUGAUGCACCAUCCAAAGUGUACAGUGCCUUGCGAAAGUAUUCGGCCCCCUUGAACUUUGCGACCUUUUUCCACAUUUCAGGCUUCAAACAUCAAGAUAUAAAACUGUAUUUUUUUGUGAAGAAUCAACAACAAGUGGGACACAAUCAUGAAGUGGAACGACAUUUAUUGGAUAUUUCAAACUUUUUUAACAAAUAAAAAACUGA
Long non-coding RNA from Oncorhynchus kisutch (coho salmon), 2473 nucleotides. RefSeq lists it as uncharacterized. Lineage: Eukaryota; Metazoa; Chordata; Actinopteri; Salmoniformes; Salmonidae. The record is from RefSeq and is a predicted model, not a curated record. The transcript has 3 exons.